UGAACGCUGGCGGCAUGCUUUACACAUGCAAGUCGACCGGCAGCGCGGGGCAACCUGGCGGCGAGUGGCGAACGGGUGAGUAAUAUAUCGGAACGUACCCAGAAGUGGGGGAUAACGUAGCGAAAGUUACGCUAAUACCGCAUACGAUCUACGGAUGAAAGUAGGGGACCGCAAGGCCUUAUGCUUUUGGAGCGGCCGAUAUCUGAUUAGCUAGUUGGUGAGGUAAAGGCUCACCAAGGCGACGAUCAGUAGCUGGUCUGAGAGGACGACCAGCCACACUGGAACUGAGACACGGUCCAGACUCCUACGGGAGGCAGCAGUGGGGAAUUUUGGACAAUGGGCGCAAGCCUGAUCCAGCAAUGCCGCGUGAGUGAAGAAGGCCUUCGGGUUGUAAAGCUCUUUUGUCAGGGAAGAAACGGUAGAGGCUAAUAUCCUUUGCUAAUGACGGUACCUGAAGAAUAAGCACCGGCUAACUACGUG
RNAcentral lists this ribosomal RNA (480 nucleotides) under uncultured bacterium. Its description in RNAcentral is "partial 16S ribosomal RNA". It matches the Rfam family "Bacterial small subunit ribosomal RNA", at positions 30 to 507 of the family's 1533-position model. The record is from RNAcentral.